CAGAGUUGAUCAUGGCUCAGGAUGAACGCUAGCGGCAGGCUUAACACAUGCAAGUCGAGGGGCAGCAUAAUGGAUAGCAAUAUCUAUGGUGGCGACCGGCGCACGAGUGCGUAACGCGUAUGCAACCUACCUUUAACAGGGGGAUAACACUGAGAAAUUGGUACUAAUACCCCAUAAUAUCAUAGAAGGCAUCUUUUAUGGUUGAAAAUUCCGAUGGUUAGAGAUGGGCAUGUCG
This 235-nucleotide ribosomal RNA is filed under the name uncultured bacterium. RNAcentral's name for it is "partial 16S ribosomal RNA". It matches the Rfam family "Bacterial small subunit ribosomal RNA", at positions 8 to 235 of the family's 1533-position model. The record is from RNAcentral.